This is a long non-coding RNA of Gracilinanus agilis (Agile Gracile Mouse Opossum), 211 nucleotides long. RefSeq lists it as uncharacterized. The transcript is spliced from 3 exons. The record is from RefSeq and is a predicted model, not a curated record. Lineage: Eukaryota; Metazoa; Chordata; Mammalia; Didelphimorphia; Didelphidae.
AGAAGAGUUAAGUCACUUGCCCAAAGUCACCUGGGUAUCAGAAGAGAACCUGGAUUUGACUAAUAAACUUAAGGAGACUGAAGCAGCCCUGCAGAUGGAGAGAGAAAAAAAUAAAACAGAAGAGCACAGUUCUGCAUGCACUGGCCCAAUGACCUACUCUUUACUCCUGGGGCUCUCUCUGGUCAUUGCUUUGCUUCCCUGAGCAGCCUGA